AACCUUAUCAGUCUUCUGAUCUCCUUACUAUCACCUGGGAGAAAUCCCACCCCGGCUACCCCCUCUGGCUCUUGGCCCUGCCUUAGGGCUUGGAAGGUUUCUAGAACCUCAAUAAAUUUCCUGAAUUUUCUUGCCUUUUCAACCCACUUAUUGCUCACUCCCUCAGUCCUGUUACCAAAUACCUUGGCUUAAAGACAUAGCUGCCAGAACAGGUGAGUAUAAAACACCUUUUCUCUUUUCCCUUUACCCCUUAAGUUAAAUUGGGGUCAACAGGAUUUUUUUUCUUCUCUUUUUUUUUGUCUCUCAUUUCCAUCUCCUUUUACUUUAAGGAGGUGGCUCAGUAGAUUAUAAGGCAGGCCAGACUUAGCUAAUCAACUGAUCAACAACGAGGAACCUCAGGAGAGGAAGCUCUUAGGAGCUCCUAACCUGCAAAAAUCAGCUGAAUACAGCUAGGGAGCUAACUUAAAAACCAUUUUUUUUUCUGUUUCCUGGCCUUUCUAGUCUUAAAAAUUUAAGUGGGCUUUGCUGAAGGAAGAUAGCACAUGAUCCUAGCAGUUUUAGCCUGAGGUCUAAAGAAGAUUGCUGAGACCCACCCAUAUACAAUUUACAAUACAAUAGGCCCUUAGCUUGUAUAGGGGUUGUAGACUAGGGAGCCACCUACUGCAAAAAAAAAAAAAAGCCUGUGGAAAGUUUGUUGCUUUGCCUUGCUCCCCACGUGUUUUGUGAAAUUACAAAAUAUACAUAUAAAAAUGAGUACUAUAUCCUUUGACAAUUAUAAGGCAGCUGAAGAAGUAGGGGCAUUGAGGAAUGAAGGAUACCUCCAAAUUUUUAUAUUAAUAGGUACUGUCAUUUUUGUACUCCUCAAUACUAUAUUUAGAGAUGAAAAAAUAAAAAAAAUUGAGGAGAAAAUAAAACAAAAUGAGGAGAAAAUAAAACAAAAUGAGGAGGAAAUAAAGCAAAAUGAGGAUAAAAUAGAAAAUAUUGAGGAUAAAAUAGGAAAUAUUGAGAAUAAAAUAGGAAAUAUUGAGGAUAAAAUGGGAAAUAUGGAAGAUAAAAUAGGAAAAAUUGAGGAUAAAAUGCAAGCCCAAUUAGAUCUAAAAAGUUUCUUACAGGAUCAAUUGACAAACAACCACUCUACCAAAAAUAGACCUGUUUCUGAACCUUUGAAUGAGGAAAUUUCCUUCCCUGAAAUAGAGAUGGAAAAUACCUUUCCUAUAGCCAAGUUAACAGACUGCUUCUCUCGUGUAGUGCAAAUCUUGUCUGAAUUUAAUCCCCAAAACCCUUCCCCGGCAAUCCCAGAUUCUCAUGUUCCUUCUCCUACAGAAAACCAAAUUCCACUGCAAGAGAGAUCUUGUCCCCCUAGAAAAACCUGUCCUUGUCAAACUGACCCACAGGUGCAAAAUCCAACUAGAGGCCUGUUUCCUCUAAGAGAAGUACCUGAAAUAGGACGAAAUGGGGAUGUGGUGACUUUAAGACAUAGGAUACCAUUUACUCCCCAAGAAAUAAAUGAAUUUACACGAAAUAUUCCCACAUAUGAACAAGAUCCUUUUCUAGUAACAAAAAAGAUGGGAGACAUAUUUUUUCAGUAUAAUCCGUCUUACAAGGACGUUGAGAGCUUACUCCAGGCUUUUUUAAGUGAACGUGAAAAAAAUAAAAUAAUUGCUCAUGUCAACAAAACCCGGGGGCGUAAUGCAGCACAUUGGCCAUCUCAGGAUCCCGAAUGGGACUAUAACAAUCCUGAGGAUUAUCUACAACUAUACCGUUGUAGAGAGGCCAUCCUCACGUCCAUGAAGGAAUGUGUGGACAGUACAGAUAAGUGGAUGGAACUGGAAAAAAUUAAGCAAAAGGAAAACGAAACACCCUCCAGAUUUAUGGACAGAAUUAUCGAGUUUGGGGACAGAUACUUAGAUUGGGACUUAACUAAAGAGAGUAGUAUAAGACAAGUUAGAAGAAUCUUUGUAAACAAUUCUUGCAAAGUAAUUAAGAAUUAUUUUAAAACACAAUGCCCAAGAUGGUCAGAUAUGGACCUUGAAGAAUUGCGAAAAACAGCUAUAUAUGUUUUAAAGGGAAACGAAGAAAAGGAGAAAGAAAAUGAUGAUGACAUGGAGGAAAUGAAGAAAAAAAUGAGAUAUUUAAUAGAUAGGAUAACUAAAUUAGAAAGUGGGCAGGGUAAUGAACCAACGACAAUUGCCCCUCUCCAGAAAUCCAAUUAUCAAUCCAUUACUUGCCACUUCUGUGAGAAGAAGGGCCACAAAAUGAUGGAAUGUAGAAUCUUUCUUAAGAUGAUUGGAAGAAAUACACAGUCUAAUAAUAGCUUUAGAAAUAAUAACUAUAAUGAAUAUAGAAAUAAGAACUUUAGAAACCAG
Molecule: long non-coding RNA, 2366 nt
Organism: Monodelphis domestica (gray short-tailed opossum)
Lineage: Eukaryota; Metazoa; Chordata; Mammalia; Didelphimorphia; Didelphidae
Source: Ensembl